This 468-nucleotide ribosomal RNA is filed under the name uncultured bacterium. Its description in RNAcentral is "partial 16S ribosomal RNA". It matches the Rfam family "Bacterial small subunit ribosomal RNA", at positions 28 to 507 of the family's 1533-position model. The record is from RNAcentral.
GACGAACGCUGGCGGCGUGCUUAACACAUGCAAGUCGAACGGAAAGGCCCUGCUUUUGUGGGGUGCUCGAGUGGCGAACGGGUGAGAAACACGUGAGUAACCUGCCCUUGACUUUGGGAUAACUUCAGGAAACUGGGGCUAAUACCGGAUAGGAGCUCCUGCUGCAUGGUGGGGGUUGGAAAGUUUCGGCGGUUGGGGAUGGACUCGCGGCUUAUCAGCUUGUUGGUGGGGUAGUGGCUUACCAAGGCUUUGACGGGUAGCCGGCCUGAGAGGGUGACCGGCCACAUUGGGACUGAGAUACGGCCCAGACUCCUACGGGAGGCAGCAGUGGGGAAUAUUGCACAAUGGGCGGAAGCCUGAUGCAGCAACGCCGCGUGCGGGAUGACGGCCUUCGGGUUGUAAACCGCUUUCGCCUGUGACGAAGCGUGAGUGACGGUAAUGGGUAAAGAAGCACCGGCUAACUACGUG